UACAGAGGUCUCAAGCGUUGUUCGGAUUCAUUGGGCGUAAAGGGUGCGUAGGCGGUGUGGAAAGUCGAAUGUGAAAUCUCGGAGCUCAACUCCGAAACUGCAUUCGAUACUACCAUGCUAGAGGAUUGUAGAGGAGAUCGGAAUUCACGGUGUAGCAGUGAAAUGCGUAGAUAUCGUGAGGAAGACCAGUUGCGAAAGCGGAUCUCUGGGCAACUCCUGACGCUGAGGCACGAAGGUUAGGGGAGCAAAC
RNAcentral lists this ribosomal RNA (250 nucleotides) under uncultured bacterium. RNAcentral describes it as "partial 16S ribosomal RNA". It matches the Rfam family "Bacterial small subunit ribosomal RNA", at positions 524 to 773 of the family's 1533-position model. The record is from RNAcentral.